AUUCUGCCCAUGCGGGGAAGGAUGAGAAGCUUCGACCAAGGUUCGACUAGAGCGCCAGCGAGAGAGCGUUGCCGCAGGCAACGACCCGAAGGGCGAAGCGCGCAGCGCUGAGUAAUCCUUCCCCCACCACCA
RNAcentral lists this small RNA (132 nucleotides) under Escherichia coli. RNAcentral's name for it is "RtT sRNA". It matches the Rfam family "RtT RNA". From Rfam's summary of the family: This family represents a bacterial cis-regulatory element known as RtT RNA. Lineage: Bacteria; Pseudomonadati; Pseudomonadota; Gammaproteobacteria; Enterobacterales; Enterobacteriaceae. The record is from RNAcentral.